UUAGAAACAACGGAUAUAUGUGAGACCAUCUCCACCACCUUGCUCAAACUCUUAACUUUGAUAAAAAAAUAAUAAUAAUAAUAAAUUAUUGAGUAAAAGAUUCAUUUGAUAUGAAGCACUCCAAUGAAAAAACUCAAAUUAAGCAUACAUAUUUGGCAGAAAAAUGGUAAUUUAGAAAGCCACAAGGUAGACUUGCGAAUUUUAAGUAAAAUAAAGUCCCCUUCGAUUGGAUUAAGACUUGUUUUGAUACAAGUUUGAUCGAGGAAGAGACGCAUUUGGGAGGUUCUAAGAUUUGAGCAAGGGCUAUAGAACAAAAAAAGAACAACGGGUUAAUACAUGAAGACCCAAAUACAAAUCUCAAUUAAUCAAUAAUCAGUGGAAAUGAUAACACUUCAGAGGUCGUAACUCAUGGAAAAAAAGAGUGAACCCAUAAACUGAACAAGACAAGCUCAACAAUUAAUGCAUCAAUGAUUCAAUGCACAAAAUGUUUUUUUUUUUUUUUUUUGAUAAGCCAAUACAUAUAAUGAGACCAGAUAAUGAAGUCCACAAAAUCUUAAAAUUUCAGCCAAAAAGAAUAGUCACUCAACACAAUCAAAGAGAGACAUACAAACAUAGGAGAUUACAGGAUAUAAAGUGUGUGUUUAUGUCAAUACACCAAAUGUUUAGAUACAUAUAUGGAAUGAGACCCAAAUAAAGAAGUCCACAGUUGAUUGAUUUUAGCCAGAAAAAACAAUCAUACUACAACCGAGGUGUUAGUCACCCCUUUUCCGGCCGACGAGCAUCCAGCCAUUUUCAGAACAUUGACUAAGACAGAAUGUUUAAAUACACAUAUGGAAUGACUAAUGAGACCCAUAUAAAAGAAGUCCACAACUGACUGAUUCUAGCCCAAACAAUCAGAGUGCAAUACAACCAAAGAGACAUACAAACAUCUGUAGAGAGAGAGAGAGAGGAUACCUUAGGGGGGUCGAUUUGAACAGGGUGAGUGAGACCGAGACUGGCGCGAGCGAGAGAGUGAGCCAUGCGCUUACCUCUGCGACAACACAAGGGUGUAACUGCAAAAGAGAGACCCAGAAGGGGGGUGGAUCGCAAUUUUCUGAAAACAAGCGAAGAAGAA
Long non-coding RNA from Rhododendron vialii, 1114 nucleotides. RefSeq lists it as uncharacterized. The transcript is spliced from 2 exons. NCBI's taxonomy places the organism in Eukaryota, Viridiplantae, Streptophyta, Magnoliopsida, Ericales, Ericaceae. The record is from RefSeq and is a predicted model, not a curated record.